This 1455-nucleotide long non-coding RNA is filed under the name Helianthus annuus (common sunflower). Lineage: Eukaryota; Viridiplantae; Streptophyta; Magnoliopsida; Asterales; Asteraceae. The record is from RNAcentral.
UAACUCAUAAGGUCAGACAGAGACAUAGACAGACAGAGAGAGAGCGUGACAGAAGGGGGUGGAGACGGUGGUUCCGUCUGCUCCGCCACUGCGCCGACGUGUAAACCAGCCGUCUCUCAAAAGCGAGGGACUCUCCGGUGAUGCCGGUAACGGUUCGGCGAACCUAGGGUUCUGCCAUGACCUCAUAUGGCGGCGGUAUUGAUGGUCUUCUGAGUAACCGGCACCGAUGGUUAACGGAUUCAAUGGAGAUGAAGACGACUUCCAUACGAGUUAGUUCCGACAUAUUUUCCGGCGUUUAAGCGGCGGAGAGAAGUUGCUAGGGUUCCGGUGAAGGUCCGGCAAAGUUCCGGUACUCUGAUUCAGAUGUGCGUCUUAUAACUACAGUUAGGUCGGGGUCAUAUGGCUCUUAAACCGAUGAUAUUUGUUGAUUCAGUAACCGUUGGUGCUCUGCUGACCGAUUUAGAGUCUCUGGCGAGUUCCACACCAGUGUAGAUCGAUAACCACAAAGGGCUGCACCAUGGUCAGUGGCUGGUGACGGGUAAAGGUGGUUCCGGUGAUGAAGUUGUGGUUGUUCACGUUUAUGUGGGUGGUCUGCAAUAGUGACCACCUGCGACAGAGAUGCCUCCGGAACAAGUAACAAAAUCAAGUGCACCUUAUACAAUUGGGUAUCUUGUAUGUACGUUGCUGCUCACUGACUUUUGGGUAUCUGGAAAUAUACUAUGACAUCUAAAAGGAUUUUUGAGAUACAGCGAACAGAAAGUAAGUGUGGAGCUACUUGAAGUCUGAGUCAUAAGAAAGUGGACCCGUACAAUGGAGAACUAUGUUUAAUCUUGGUAGACAAGCAUGGUGAUGCAAGAAGCAAGCAGCAGAUUGUAGAAACACCACAUUAUCUAAAUAGUGAUUAUGAUGUUAAAAUUGAUGAAGGCAAUGCCAUUGAUGUAUCUUUAACGAAUGAAAACGAAGAUGAAUAUAAAGGACUUGAUUUAAGAAUUAUGCACAUGAAAAACAGGUUUGUUGACACAUGGUUGUAUAUAUGUAACAUUUAAGGAUGUUUUUCUAAUGUAUAAUGUUUCGAAUCCGUGGAAUAUGCAGGAAUAAGGAUCUGCUGAUUGUUUUAAACAAUGCAAUUGGCUCCCGAUAUGUUUCAGAGUUUUAACAAUUUAGAUGAAAUCAAGCUUUUAAAGCCGGAUAACAAGUAUGAUCUGGCAGCUUUGCAUCCUACCUAAAGAGCACACGUGUUGUGCACUGAAAAAAAAAAAGAAAAAAAUGGAAACGUUGUAGACUCGAACCAGCACCAAAGCCAUAAACAAAUAGCCAACAAACCACUAAACUAAAGCCCAAAACACAUCAAAUAAACAAAAGCAAACCCAUAUAAACAACACCAACAUCAGAAAAAGAAAAAAAAGUAGCCAACACUAACUAAAUUGCCACCAAUGGAAAUGAGCAAUGAAAUUA